RNAcentral lists this transfer RNA (68 nucleotides) under Hydropsyche fryeri. RNAcentral's name for it is "tRNA-Trp". Lineage: Eukaryota; Metazoa; Arthropoda; Insecta; Trichoptera; Hydropsychidae. The record is from RNAcentral.
AAAACUUUAAGUUAAAUCAAAAACUGUUAAUUUUCAAAAUUAAAAUUAAAAUAUUAUUUUAAGUUUUA